RNAcentral lists this transfer RNA (58 nucleotides) under Agrilus planipennis (emerald ash borer). It matches the Rfam family "tRNA", at positions 9 to 63 of the family's 71-position model. From Rfam's summary of the family: Transfer RNA (tRNA) molecules are approximately 80 nucleotides in length. Their secondary structure includes four short double-helical elements and three loops (D, anti-codon, and T loops). The record is from Rfam by way of RNAcentral. Lineage: Eukaryota; Metazoa; Arthropoda; Insecta; Coleoptera; Buprestidae.
AGCUUAGUUGGUCAGAGCAUUGGUGCGUAAAGCCAAAGGUCCAGGGUUCGAUUCCCGG